Molecule: long non-coding RNA, 2195 nt
Filed under: Ananas comosus (pineapple)
Lineage: Eukaryota; Viridiplantae; Streptophyta; Magnoliopsida; Poales; Bromeliaceae
Description: long non-coding RNA (ACOM_LNC010031)
Source: RNAcentral
AUUACUUUUCAACCCAAAAAUACCUUUUAAAACUUUCAGUGACAAUAGUGAGAAGAGAGUGACAAUAGAGAGAAGAGAAGAGAAGUUGUUUUUAUCAUAAACGAUUAUUUUUAUUGUUUGAUUCGUUGUAAAAAAGUUACGGUCAAAACUCGAGUUAAUUACGAUAAAGAAUGAUAAUUAAAGAAAAAAAAAUAUAAUAAAAUAAUAUAUUAGGUAAAGAUUGUUAUAUUUAAAUAUAUUUAAUUAUGGUACUAAUUACUCUUUUAUUCGGUCGGCAUAUUUUAAAUAUGAUAAAAGUUGAUUAGUUAAGUUUUAAUAUUUUCUUUAUUUAGUUUGUAUAAUUAAAAUAUUAUAAAAAUUGAUUAAUUAAGUAUUAAUAUUUUUUUACUUUAUAAUUUUAUUGUUGUAUUGCUAUAAUUUACGUAUAAAUAAUAAUAUAGUCAUUUUAAAUUAAAUUUUAAUUAUAUAAAAAUAUAAUUACAUUAUUUUUAUUUAUUAAAUUAUUUAUUAUUUAUACAUAAAUUAUAGUUUUACAUUAUACACUUCCUACCAAACAAACAGCAGAAGUAAUGAAACUUCACUUUCAUAACUACGAAAUAAACAGCGGGAAGAAAUACUUUUCACUGCACUCCAUUUCAACCCAAAGUCUAUUUUAACUCAAAGUCUAGUUUUGAUAAAACAAACAUGUCCUAAUUAUCUGUGGCCAAUAAAAUAUUUAAUAAAUUUUUUAAAAAAUUAAAAAUUUUUGUUACAAGACAAAGGUGGGGGUGAGCGUAGAGAUGUUGAUAGGUACGGAGUAUUCAAAAUUUUAUAGAAAUUCGAAUCCGAAUCCACACAAAUUGAGAAUUUAUUAGAUGCUAAACCGAUAUGAUUUUAAAUACAGAUAUAAAAAAUAAAAAUUCGCUGGAUUUGAAUUCGGAUAUGAAUUUUGUGUAUAUUCGAUCUGACCCAGUCCUAGCCCCUAAUUGAUUUUAUAUUAUAUGAUAUAUAUAUAUAUAUAUAUUUGAUGUUACAUUUGUAUUUAUAUCCAAAAAUUUAGAUUUUAAUAUAAUAUGUAUUGAGAUAUGAUAAAGAGAAAUAAUUAUUUCAAAUUCGGAAUUUCGGGUUAAGAGUUCUCAUUUCGAGUUUUUGGUCGAAUUUGGAUUUGGAUAUAAAUUUUCAAAAUCCGUUGGUUUGAAUUUAGGUUCAGAUUUUGGGUUCACAUUUUGAGCUCAGAUUUUUUGCGGUUAGGAUGAUAAUGGUUUCCGAUUAGCAUGACAGUGGUCCUCUAGGGUUAAGUGGCGUGUUGGUUAAACAGUAUAAUCUAACGGGUGAAAAUGGUUAAAAAGGUAGAUUUAGCAGUUGAAAACUUAUAAGUACAAAAAGGCCUACACUCAUAAGAGUAUAGUAGUUGAACUUCAAAAUCAUAUUAUGUUAUGCUAAGUGAUAUUACUUUGCAUUUAUUAUAAUCAGCAGGUUAAUAUAUAAUUUUUGUGGUUCUACCAAAUAGUAAGAAGCAAAUAUGUUUUCGCCCAAUUCUUUUUCACCCCUUAACACUAGGUAACUUUCAAUACCAAAAAAGACCCAAAGUCAAAAUAAGAUUUAGGGACUCAACAACAAAAAAUUAUAAUGCGAAUUUUCUGAUUUCAUUGUAAAGAGCCGCACUACAACAGAAUUAGAUUAUAGGGACACAUGUUUGGGACACUUUUGUGUAAGUGUCAUAUUUAUGUCAAAACUUAAAAAAAAGCCUAUUAAUGCCUAAAUAUAAAGUUUAAUCCAACCAAAAAUAAAAGGGUACUCCACUCAACCCACCCCACCCAGCCCAUUCGGUCUGGUUACAAACAGAAAAGAAAAAUAAAAGAAAAAGGAAAGAAAAAUCGGUUACUAUUUCUCCUUCUCCUCUCACUCAAUCCACUGAAAUUCUAGACGAAGAUCCUUUCCUCUAGUCUCCUCCGCCACCGCAGCUAACGAGGUAGAGUUCCGAUUGUUGCUAGAUGCUUAAAUAAAUUUUGGUAAAUUAGCAGUAUUCUUUUGGAUUAUAGCAACACUCUUUAACUAUCACUAUAUACCUAGCGACCCCACAUAUAGCAACACUUUUUAAAAGUGUCGGUAAUUUAGCUAGCAGCAUUUUUUUUGACUUAUACCGAUAUUUAAAAGUGUCGCUAUAGACCGUUUUUGUUGUAGUGCCGCUAAUAACACUUCUUAUAUAAUACUUU